CAAACAAGCAGACAAAAAUUCUUGCGUCUACAACAAUUAAGCCUCAAAACUCCUUUCUUAGGCAUGUUUGAUUUAAUGAUGCAAUUUCGCAUACAAAUUACAAAGAUCUUCGAUAUAUAAGACAGUAGUUGAUCCAAGUUAAAAUCAUACUUGAAUCGACAUUCAGUCAACUCAGUCAAACAAACAAACAAAUCUAAUCAUGAAGGUCUUCAUUUUCUUCGCUCUCUUCUGCUUGGCCGUUGCAUCAGCUUCAGUCAUUGGACCACUUGGAUUGGGCCCCGUUGCUGUUUCUCCAUUGGGUGUUCCACUAGGUGCUCACAGUGUUGUUGUUGGUGGAUUGGGAGUUCCCGGACUUAUUCAUCCAGGACUUGUUGGAGGCGUCAAAAUAAUUGGUUAAACCAAUUUAUAGAAAAAACGCAUGACCCUUCUUAUAAACUGCCGACAAAAUGUUUUUAGUUUUACUUUUCGCAUAAAUAAAUUCUUCAUUUUCCCUUAAAAA
Long non-coding RNA from Episyrphus balteatus (marmalade hoverfly), 499 nucleotides. RefSeq lists it as uncharacterized. NCBI's taxonomy places the organism in Eukaryota, Metazoa, Arthropoda, Insecta, Diptera, Syrphidae. The record is from RefSeq and is a predicted model, not a curated record. The transcript has 2 exons.